This 423-nucleotide ribosomal RNA is filed under the name Physarum reniforme. RNAcentral describes it as "SSU rRNA". It matches the Rfam family "Eukaryotic small subunit ribosomal RNA", at positions 1230 to 1644 of the family's 1831-position model. Lineage: Eukaryota; Evosea; Eumycetozoa; Physariida; Physaraceae. The record is from RNAcentral.
ACACGUAUGAAAGUCAAGCUGAAAGACUUUACUCAAUGAUGUAAGUGGUGGUGCAUGGUCGUUCUUAGUUCGUGGAUUGAUUUGUCUGGUCUAUUCCGAUAACGAGCGAGACCCCAUCGUUCCUAAUAGGGGCGGCUAGCCCGCCGGCCGAAAGGUCGGUAGCUUCCGCUUAAGAUUUGCUUCUUAGACGUAUCAGAGCCGAUAAGGUUCUUGAAAUGGGUUAAUAACAGGUCAGUCAUGCCCUUAGAUGUUCUGGGCCGCACGCGCGUUACAAUGGCAUGUAAAGCAAGUGCUUGAAAAGGCGUCUCCGGGGCCGAAAGGUCCUGGUAACCCUUAGUCCCUGCCUUGACUGGGACAGAUCAUUGCAAUUAUUGGUCUCCAACGAGGAAUUUUUAGUAGUCGUAGGUCAUUAACCUACGACGA